Molecule: transfer RNA, 77 nt
Filed under: Clostridium botulinum C str. Eklund
Lineage: Bacteria; Bacillati; Bacillota; Clostridia; Eubacteriales; Clostridiaceae
Description: tRNA-Glu
Rfam family: tRNA
About the family: Transfer RNA (tRNA) molecules are approximately 80 nucleotides in length. Their secondary structure includes four short double-helical elements and three loops (D, anti-codon, and T loops).
Source: RNAcentral
UGGCUUCUUGGUCAAGAGGUUAAGACAUCGCCCUCUCAAGGCGGAAUCAGGGGUUCAAUUCCCCUAGAAGCUACCAU